This is a long non-coding RNA of Anas platyrhynchos (mallard), 3777 nucleotides long. RefSeq lists it as uncharacterized. Lineage: Eukaryota; Metazoa; Chordata; Aves; Anseriformes; Anatidae. The record is from RefSeq and is a predicted model, not a curated record.
ACUGGGGAAGAGGCCUUGUGCCCAUUACAAGCUGCAGCUGCUGUUUCCUGGGCGGUGGAGCCAGGACAUGUGUAACAGCCAAAUAGCUAGGCAUAGCUCAGGAGCAGCUCACUGUGUGCUAUUAUUCAUCUCAAGUAUUUUUGAAACAGUUUUUUUGUUGUUGUUGUUGUUGUUUUUUAACUGCCUGUCAUUUUGGACACAUCCAGGUCCAUAUUACAAGGUGCUGAGUAACAGCUUAUGAGCCACAUCAAGCAAUGGCUCCGGGGUUUGUUUACCAACAUCCACUAGAGACCCCAGCUUUUCUGUAGAAACAGAAACUGAGCCCAGGCUUAUCCAGGUAUCAAGCUGUCACAUUCCUUGGGGCCUGCAGAGCAAACUGGCCUUUGUGAAGAAUGUUUACCAUGACUGUAAGGCAGCUGUGUUUAGAGAAUCAUUUCAGGAAAGUCUAGAAAUAGCCAGUUAGAUUUCCAUAAUAGAUUCCUAUCUAAUUGUAAGGGAAGAAUAACUGCUCAUCAGUCGCAGCUUUGCAUCCGUCACAGCCUGAAAGAAGACGUGCAGAGAAGCAAGGGAAAAAUUCUUUUACUUUGCCUCCUCAUUGCUUCAGUUCCAUAACUUCAUGUCUGGUGAUCUAGACGGAGGCUUAUUCUUGCUUCAGGACAAAAGCAACUACAGGUCAAGACAUGACGGAAGUACUGUAAGGGAAGAAAAUUAGUCAUCAACUGUUUGUGCAGGGUUUCACUAGGAGGAGCCAUACCGGAGAGCACAACCGUUAAAGGACUGAGAAUGGCACAGAGCCACCCCAGUCCAGGUUGGAAAACACAGGAGAAGAAAAGGAGUGAGUAAUGAGUCAGACUCCCUUUGGGAGCUGCCCAGGGUUCCUGUCAUUGCCGUGUUCCUUCAGGAAGCUCAGAGGUCCCUGUGGGCUUGUGGAGAAGAUGGUUAUGGAUCAGCCUCCAGUUCUGGACUGAUGCAUGCCCCAGAGGAGUAUCUGGCUUGGCAGACUCUUGCAGUCGUAUCUGUUCUGAACUCGUCAGAGGUAGCUCAAAAAGAAAUCCAUGAGGUGGCCCCAACUCUCUGUCCUCUCCUUCAAACCCCUGUUGAAAGACCAUUAAAAAGCUACAUGACACUGAAGCACAGCAUCGGCAUUAAGAACACUGCACGUAUAAGCAUUUAUCCAGCCAGAGAAAAGUAACAUUAACCUGACAGACUGCCUCCAGAAAUAGAAAAAUAUACGUAUGGGAAAGAAAUGCUUCAUUUUUGAUGGUAAAAAUGUAAGUGGACCCUCCUGAAGGGAUGUAAUUAAAAAAUGUAGCAGGAGUAGGGAGGGGAAACAUGGAUGAUGAAAGGCAGUUUUAUCCCAAUAGAAGGCUUCCUUCUACAGCAUUUAUGGGGAGGCUCUGUAGCUGCAGGGAGACUAAAGCAGAAAAGGGUAAUGAGAGAGACAUGAAGACUGGGUAUUAAAUGUGAGAAGAGAGCAGCUGGAUGUGGAAAUGAGGAUAAGGCUUUGAACUGAGCACGUGGGCAAAAGACUGAAGAUAAUCAGCUGCAUUCAGGAGGUGGAGAGCUAGGCUGGGGGACCUAAGGGGGACUGUGACAAGAAAUGCAGACACGAGAGACCAAUGCUUUCAGGUAAGAGGCUGGUAGAGAAAAGGGAAGAUUGGUGACUGGAACUGGCUGGGAAAAUAGAAUGGCAGUUGUCUGAGAGAGAAAGCAGUGCUGGAGAAUAAGGAUACAGAGAUGUAGAAGGAACAGAAAUGGGACAGGUGUGGUUUGAGGUGUGUAAGACAGACUUGGUGUGGAAAAACAUCUGUAAGAGACUGCAGCCGCUUCCCUAGCCAUUCCAGAUAACAAGGCCCCUGUGUCAGGGCACUGCUCCGAUGUCAUCCCACAGCAAAAGUGGCCUCUGGUCCACAGAGGAGUUGGCAACUUUGCAUUGCUAUAAAUUGCCCCAUCAUCUCAGAGGGUAUGAUAAAUGCAUAUGGAGAAGCUAAAAGCUAACCUCACUAGUGUGAGGCAUAGAGGUGUUAAUAUGAUGCCACAUAAUAGAUUUUUUUUUUUCCACUUUGCUUCAUUAAGAACCUAGGAAAUUACCUACAAACACUCUGUUAAAAGAACUCUGUGAGCUGCCAAAACAAACACUCAGAAGUUGGAAAGUGCCAGAGCUGAAGCUGUGUAGCUUUUUCCCCAUUUGCACAUAUUCAUAGGCAACACAUCUUUAUUUGCAGGAAAAGGUACUCUUCUCCCACAGAAACUGUGUCAGUCUGUGCUCAGCCCUGGGUUCUGUCAAGAUGAUUCAGGAUUGUGUAAGAGGUGCCAUAGUCUACCCACACUAUCUAUCCAUUUGCUGUAGGUUCAAUAAGGCUUUUUGAAUACAUUUGAUUAGGGCAAAUCAGCGGGGUAUAUCUUGCUUAAAGCUGUUGAAUACUAAUCUGAAGAACUAGAUACAACCCUGCCUGACUGUGCCACAAAUCUCUUCUACUCCAAUAAUAAGUUCUUACACCAAGUUUUGCACACAUGGUGACUAAUUGCACGUUCCCUGUUACGUGGAUACCUGGCUUAAGACUCCAGGGCCUGAUCUGGAGAAGUGCUGAGCACUCGCAGCUGCAGCAGAACUCAAUGGGAUCUCUGCUCUGAAUAUCUAAAGAAUUACAUAAUGGUAAGUACCCUGACAAAUUAGAACCUGGAGUCUUAAAUAAAGCACCCCAAAUCACUGCACCUCUCAGCUCUUCUGUUACCCAGCUGUAAAAUAGGGAUGAUAAUCAUAAGGGAGAUCUGAAAAUAAAUACACAUUUGUGAACUACUUAGAGACUACAGUCAUUAAGACCAUGGGAAGCUUUGCAAAUUAAAUUAAAAACUCUUUCUUCUGAUCAAGAUCUGUGGCAAAUAGGCUUUUAGGACACAUGUUAAACAUAUGGAGAAAGGAAAAUACUGAACGGCUUUUCAAUAAAUAAAUGCUGCCCAUCCUCAGCGAUGAAGAGGCAGUGAUCCUGUGGGAAAGGCAAGAAGUGGUCAUGUACUCAAGGAUGGCAUCGCAAACAUGCACACAGAGGGAGUGUAUUUAAACUCCAUACUCCUAAAGCUGGCUAUUCGAACUGCUGGACACUUAAUGUCACAAAUUGCUAAUAUGAUUUUUGUGUACUGAGUGAUGGGGAUAAUAGAUGCUUAAGAAUUUUCUUUUCUUUUGAGGGAGAGAUUUUCUGAUUGAAAUCAAGCUAAAUAUUAUAUGUAUGUGCUAUUAGCUGACCCUAAUCCGACUAAAAAAAAAAAAAUGAAAAAAAAAAAAAGUAUGUGUAUAUACUGUUACAAAAACCUAAUAGGAACUGGGUGACUGCCAUAUAUUACCUGGCACACUGAAACUGUAAAGUCUGCUUUCACCAUCAGAGUGUGACUUAUCAUCUGGAAGUGAUUUAGUUGUGUGGUUACCUUUGGAUUGCAGCUCUUUUGGUUCUUUACUAGAAAGCAAAUAAUGAUGGAGAAUAAGACUUUAGCACUAUCAAGUAAACAAAUAAUUGGGCUGGAGAUUUCAAAACCAGAGGUGAGAAGUGAUUUUGAAGCUAUUCAAAACUCUGCAGGUUUUAUCCUCCAUGGUUGUUAUUAAAAGUAGUUAUAAAAUCCAGAUCUCUGCCCUCCCUCACUCCCUAGCCUUCUCUUUCCUUUACUAUGUGGUAUGCAGGGAACAUUGCUUGAAAUAUACUGCUUCUCAGCUCUGCAAAGUCCAUGUCCAGAAAGUCAGUUUGUUUUCUGAAGUAAUUUUCAAUGUAUAGAUCUAUACUUUCC